RNAcentral lists this ribosomal RNA (456 nucleotides) under uncultured bacterium. RNAcentral describes it as "SSU rRNA". It matches the Rfam family "Bacterial small subunit ribosomal RNA", at positions 26 to 518 of the family's 1533-position model. The record is from RNAcentral.
AGAAUGAACGUUGGCGGCGUGGAUUAGGCAUGCAAGUCGAGCGUGUACCCCGCAAGGGGGAAAGCGGCGAAAGGGACAGGAACACGUAGAUUACCUACCCUCUGGUUCAGGAUAGCUGCGGGAAACUGCAGGUAAUACUGAAUAACGUCUCCGGACCAAAGGUGUGAUUCCACCGGAGGAUGGGUCUGCGUCCUAUUAGCUUGUUGGUGAGGUAAUGGCUCACCAAGGCUUCGAUCCGUAGCUGGUCUGAGAGGACGGCCAGCCACACUGGGACUGAGACACGGCCCAGACUCCUACGGGAGGCAGCAGUUAGGGAAUUUUGACAAUGGGCGCAAGCCUGAUCGAGUGACGCCGCGUGCGGGAUGACGCCUUUCGGGGUGUAAACCGCUUUUCCCAGGGACGAGGAGGGACGGUACCUGGGGAAGAAGUCUCGGCUAACUACGUGCCAGCAGCCGC